UUUGAAGUAUGAAGCUUUUUUUGGUGAAUAAUAUGAAUAAAAUGAAUAUAGUUCCUGAGAUCGAGACAUUUCCAUAACGGAUUUUGAUCCUGAUUAAGAAUAUAUAAGAUUUAAGGGUAUACUUAAUUCGUUGACAAGUAUGUAACAGGUAAAAGAAAGCGUUGAAAAUAAAAAUCCCUAGGAGAGUCGAUCUGGCCAUGUCCGUUUCCUGUCCGUUUGAAGUUCUUGACUAUCUACAGACUUUUAUCUGUUAUAUCUGAAUGGAGAAGGGGUAUAAGGUGAUCCUAAGCUGCAAACCCUAGACACCACUACUGUUAAGGGGAAAAAGGAGAUCAGUGCAGUCUGAAAUUGGCCUUUACCAACGCAAAGACCAAUAAUUAUUUGAUUCUAGUGUAAAAAAAAUGUAAAUCAAAAUCUCCUGAUUUUGAGGCAAUUAAACGGAAAGACGAACAUGGCCUGAUCGACUGGGCUAGUGAUACUGAUCACGCAUAUAUAUGCUUUAUAGGCAAAAGCUCUUUUCUUCCUGUUAAUCCUUUUAAACGGAUCACCAUUGUACUCUACGAGUAACGGUAAUAAAGUUUAAGUUUAUAUAUAAUAUUUAUUGGACUUACUUAUUGUUCAAUAAGUCCAAGUCAUGUGUCAGCGGAUAAAUUAAAUAAAAAAAUUUGAAUAUACUAACAUUCUUUUUCCUUAUUGUGCAUAAACAUUUCAGAUUCCGUUAGAUAAAUCCAAAUAUUUCGCAUGCAGAUUAUUUUAAAGCCAGCAUCGUUGG
Drosophila simulans is the source of this 772-nucleotide long non-coding RNA. RefSeq lists it as uncharacterized. The record is from RefSeq and is a predicted model, not a curated record. Lineage: Eukaryota; Metazoa; Arthropoda; Insecta; Diptera; Drosophilidae. The transcript is spliced from 3 exons.